Molecule: ribosomal RNA, 626 nt
Filed under: Ciliophora sp.
Lineage: Eukaryota; Ciliophora
Description: SSU rRNA
Rfam family: Eukaryotic small subunit ribosomal RNA
Source: RNAcentral
CUACCAUGGCGUUCACGGGUAACGGAGAAUUAGGGUUCGAUUCCGGAGAAGGAGCCUGAGAAACGGCUGCUACUACCAAGGAAGGCAGCAGGCGCGUAACUUACCCAAUCCUGAUUCAGGGAGGUAAUGACAAGAAAUAACAUACGGGGGCACUUUGUGUUCCCGGAAUGGAAUGAGUACAAUUUACACACCUUAACGAGGACCAAUUGGAGGGCAAGUCUGGUGCCAGCAGCCGCGGUAAUUCCAGCUCCAAUAGCGUAUAUUAAAGUUGUUGCAGUUAAAAAGCUCGUAGUUGGACCUCUGAAAGGAAAUAUUGGCCUGCGGUUUCCGUGCGGCUGAUAAUUCUUUUCAUCCUUCGGUCAACUUCGCCGGCAUUCACUUGUCGACGGAGGGCCCCGAUAUUUUACCUUGAGAAAAAUAGAGUGUUUCAGGCAGGCUUCGCCGGAAUACAUUAGCAUGGAAUAAUAGAAGAGGACUCUUACCUUAUUUGUUGGUUUCAAGAUUUGAGUAAUGAUUAAUAGGGACAGUUGGGGCUGCUAAUAUUUAAUUGUCAGAGGUGGAAUUCUUUGAUUUAUGAAAGAUUAACUUAUGCGAAAGCAUUCAGCAAGGAUGUUUUCAUUAAUCAA